UUCCCUGCGCCCAGAGAAAGACCACAUGAUGACUGCUGUUUGUGACCUUUUUUCUUUUUUUUUUUUUACAGCAGAGAAGUCAGUUCAAGGGCAUAAAAAAAGGUAACAAAUGUGAAAAAAAAAGCCCGCUACUCACUGCUCCUAUAAAGAGUUAGAGGAGUGGCCGAAAGAUAGGUCAAUUUCGGCCUGGUGUAGUUUGUAGUGUGUAUUCUAAAUGUUUGUAGAGUGUACUGUACCUAUAUAAUAAAGGAGAGUGUAGAGUGUAUAAAGGAAAUUCUUGUAGAGUGUAUAAACUAAAUGUUGGUGUAUUUUGUUAUAUACUAAAUCAAACACAUACAAUUAACUGAUCUGAAACUAUCACUGAUGUACAUUUCUUUUGACAUUGCAGGCGUGUACUGCCAAAAUCUCAGAUCCAUUUACAAGGCAGCCAUACCAGAGAGGGGACCAGACGUGUGGCUCAGGCCUUGUAUACUACAACUAGGUAAAUACAACAUAAGUGAAUUCAAGACUAGUACAUGCACUGCCUUUCAGAUUCAUUUAAAAGUCAGCCAUAUCAGACAACAGGAAGGUUACAGGAUGAUGACUAUAGAUAAGGAGAGGGGACCAGACAUGUGGCUGAGGCCUUGUAUACUAAAACUAAGUAAAUACAGCUAGGUGAAUUCAAGACUAGGACGUGCAAUGCCUUCCAGAUCCAUUUGCAAGUCAGCCAUAUCAGAUAACAGGAAGGUUACGCAUGACUAUAGAUAAGGAGACCAGACAUGCAGCUCAGGCCCUGUAUACUACAACUAGGUAAAUACAGCUAGGUGAAUACAAGAUUAUGACAUGCACUGCCUUUCAGAUCCAUUUACAAGUCAGCCAUAUCAGACAACAGGAAGGUUAUGCAUGACUAUAGAUAAGGAGACCAGACAUGUAACUCAGGCCCUGUAUACUACAACUAGGUAAAUACAGCUAGGUAAAUACAAGAUUAUGACAUGCACUGCCUUCUAGAUUCAUUUACAAGUCAGCCAUAUCAGACAACAGGAAGGUUAUGCAUGACUAUAGAUAAGGAGAAGGGACCAGACAUGCAGCUCAGGCCCUGUAUACUACAACUAGGUAAAUACAAGAUUAUGACAUGCACUGCCUUCCAGAUUCAUUUACAAAUCAGCCAUAAUUAUCAGACAACAGGAAGGUUACGCAUGACUAUAGAUAAGGAGACCAGACAUGUAGCUCAGGCCCUGUAUACUACAACUAGGUGAAUUCAAGACUAGGACAUGCAAUGCCUUCCAGAUUCAUUUACAAGUCAGCCAUAUCAGACAACAGGAAGGUUAUGCAUGACUAUAGAUAAGGAGAAGGGACCAGAGAUGUAACUCAGGCCCUGUAUACUACAACUAGGUAAAUACAAGAUUAUGACAUGCACUGCCUUUCAGAUCCAUUUACAAGUCAGCCAUAUCAGACAACAGGAAGGUUACGGCAUGACUAUAGAUAAGGAGAAGGGACCAGACAUGUAACUCAGGCCCUGUACACUACAACUAGGUAAAUACAGCAUAGGUGAAUUCAAGACUAGCACAUGCACUGCCUUCUAAGUCCAUUUACAAGUCAGCCAUAAUGAUCAAACAGGAAGGUUACAGCAAGAUGACUCCCUACUCUUUACUUUUAUCUUUUAUAGGAGCGGCGAAUAGCGGGCUUUUUUUUGGUACUCUUUUUAUUGCCCUUGAGCCAUGUCCUCUAAUGUAAAAAAAAAAAUAA
Long non-coding RNA from Eriocheir sinensis (Chinese mitten crab), 1725 nucleotides. RefSeq lists it as uncharacterized. The transcript is spliced from 3 exons. Lineage: Eukaryota; Metazoa; Arthropoda; Malacostraca; Decapoda; Varunidae. The record is from RefSeq and is a predicted model, not a curated record.